UACGGAGGGUGCAAGCGUUAAUCGGAAUUACUGGGCGUAAAGCGCGCGUAGGCGGUUGGGUAAGUCAGAUGUGAAAGCCCCGGGCUUAACCUGGGAACUGCAUGUGAUACUGUCUGACUCGAGUAUGGGAGAGGGGGGUGGAAUUCCCGGAGUAGCGGUGAAAUGCGUAGAUAUCGGGAGGAACACCAGGGGCGAAGGCGGCCCCCUGGACCAAUACUGACGCUGAGGUGCGAAAGCGUGGGGAGCAAACAGG
RNAcentral lists this ribosomal RNA (253 nucleotides) under uncultured bacterium. Its description in RNAcentral is "partial 16S ribosomal RNA". It matches the Rfam family "Bacterial small subunit ribosomal RNA", at positions 524 to 776 of the family's 1533-position model. The record is from RNAcentral.